This 439-nucleotide long non-coding RNA is filed under the name Lathyrus oleraceus (garden pea). RNAcentral's name for it is "Pisum sativum (pea) long non-coding RNA (PSAT_LNC015590)". The record is from RNAcentral. Lineage: Eukaryota; Viridiplantae; Streptophyta; Magnoliopsida; Fabales; Fabaceae.
AUACUAAAAAAAUGCUACACAUGAGUAUUGAACCACCCCACUCAAGACUAUGAUACCACCUUCUCCACCAGACCACUUAUGAUCAUCUACUACUGUGAUACUAGGUUAAAUAUAUGAACCGGCUAAAAAAUAAAAAGAUUUAAAAUAAAAAACAAAAUAAACAUUUUUUAUGGUUUUUGUAUCUCUGUUAAAAAACAAAUUAAAUUAAUAAAAGAAAAUAAAAAAACAAAGGCCUCACGAAAUCCCUCUCUUUCGCGUCCUCUCCUCUCUAAAUCACUACCAGCAAGCUCUCUCCCAACCUUCAGUGAAAAUCGUCCCUCACCGCUCUCUCAAUCUCCAAUCUCUCUUAAUCGCUCACCUAAUCUCGCGCUCAACCCUCUCUCUCCUCGUCCUCAACCUUAUUCCAAAAUGCAUAAAACCCACAGCUUAAAGGAAUCUG